RNAcentral lists this ribosomal RNA (253 nucleotides) under uncultured bacterium. Its description in RNAcentral is "partial 16S ribosomal RNA". It matches the Rfam family "Bacterial small subunit ribosomal RNA", at positions 524 to 776 of the family's 1533-position model. The record is from RNAcentral.
UACGUAGGGCGCAAGCGUUAUCCGGAAUUAUUGGGCGUAAAGAGCUCGUAGGCGGUUUGUCGCGUCUGCCGUGAAAGUCCGGGGCUCAACUCCGGAUCUGCGGUGGGUACGGGCAGACUGGAGUGAUGUAGGGGAGACUGGAAUUCCUGGUGUAGCGGUGAAAUGCGCAGAUAUCAGGAGGAACACCGAUGGCGAAGGCAGGUCUCUGGGCAUUAACUGACGCUGAUGAGCGAAAGCAUGGGGAGCGAACAGG